Molecule: unclassified non-coding RNA, 922 nt
Filed under: Bombus terrestris (buff-tailed bumblebee)
Lineage: Eukaryota; Metazoa; Arthropoda; Insecta; Hymenoptera; Apidae
Description: misc RNA ENSBTSG00005034999.1
Source: RNAcentral
CACUCACUCUCUGGUGUGGUUUUCCUGGUCACUGCUGUAAGCGCUCUCAUUGUCGGUGCUGUUUUCGUCAUAUAAAUAAAUUUCACUGCCACUGGUACUUCCAGUACUGCCAGCAGUAUGAGAAGCUAGCUGCGACGGAAUCGAAGGCAGCGUAGCCGUGGUAGGUGCUCCGCAAUGCGGUGGCAGAGCUGGAAUCGCAGGAUUUCCAAGGAAACUAUGAGCCUCGUACAUGUACUGGCGAUUCAUCAUGUCUAAUUCCAAAUUAUCCAUAGAAUACAUCUUGAAGAGGCUUGUCUUAUACUUAAAUUUCUUUGAUCGAUGUAGAAAUUUGGAAGAUUUGAUUUUACACUGUAGUUUUUACUUGAGAAUCUCUCAAGUGAGAUCCAAACGUUUCCAUCACGAGUUACAGGAUACUUUGAACGUUUGACUUCACACUGUAGUUUCUAGUUGAGAAUCUCUCAGAGGGGAUGCACAUUCAAAUUUAAUACAAGAAGCAUCCUUGAGACCAGUCACAAUGCUUUUAUACAACCUCUGAGCCCUGUCUAUAUGGACACUAUAGUCUUCUUUGAACGCGGAAGAACCAAUAUCUUCGACCUAAUACAGGAAAUAUUGAACAGAUUAUUGAGAUCACGGACGACGCUGCUGUGUAAUUUCUGAGUGCUUCCUGGAACGCUAUAUAGGGUUUUUUGAACGCAGAAGAGACAAUUCUUCAAACUCAAUGCAAGGGACAUUGAAUGGAUUCAAUUAAACUGGGAUCAGCAGGCAGUUUUCGUUGAAAUUUCCAACGAAUUCCAAUGCAAGCACCCUCGAUCACGUCCCGGGGAUCACUGAUACCAUCGACGUGACACGUGGCCUCAGCGCGUGCUAGGAAAUACUUCUAAACAGCGGCACGUGCCAGCAGGAAACCAGGACACGUGUCCAG